RNAcentral lists this transfer RNA (100 nucleotides) under Erysiphe necator (grape powdery mildew). It matches the Rfam family "tRNA". Rfam says of the family: Transfer RNA (tRNA) molecules are approximately 80 nucleotides in length. Lineage: Eukaryota; Fungi; Ascomycota; Leotiomycetes; Helotiales; Erysiphaceae. The record is from Rfam by way of RNAcentral.
GGACAGAUGGCCGAGCUGGUUAUGGCGCCAGGUUAAGGUUACCUUAACAGUAUAUUUCCUGGUCACGAAAGUGGCGUGGGUUCGAGUCCCACUCUGUUCA